GUGCCCUCGCUCCCGUUUCUCACUAAGAAAAUCAUCCCCUUACGGUUGAAGUACUUCUGUGUUGCUUUAUCUCCUUAUAGGUGAUGUUAUCUCCGGAUGCUAAUUCUACGAGUACACUUUGAUUUCUCUUCCAUAAGAGAUGAAGAAAUAGAAUUCUCAGCUCCUCUAGCUCCAUGACUGUCUGGAUACUGCCAUGUUCCUGCCUUGAUGAUAAUGGACUGAACCUCUGAACCCGUAAGCCAGCCCCAAUUAAAUGCUGUCCUUAAAA
This is a non-coding RNA of Rattus norvegicus (Norway rat), 268 nucleotides long. The record is from RefSeq and is a predicted model, not a curated record. NCBI's taxonomy places the organism in Eukaryota, Metazoa, Chordata, Mammalia, Rodentia, Muridae.